This 751-nucleotide ribosomal RNA is filed under the name Lecidella greenii. RNAcentral's name for it is "SSU rRNA". It matches the Rfam family "Bacterial small subunit ribosomal RNA", at positions 396 to 1101 of the family's 1533-position model. Lineage: Eukaryota; Fungi; Ascomycota; Lecanoromycetes; Lecanorales; Lecanoraceae. The record is from RNAcentral.
AUUGCAUCAAUGUUUAAAUAAUUGAUGCAAUAUCGACUAUGUCGAAUAAAAUUCUAGGUAGAAUUAUGAUAAUGACAUUGUCUGCCUAUGUGUCUUGACCAAAUUACGUGCCAGCAGUCGCGGUAAUACGUAGAAGACUAGUGUUAUUCAUCUUUAAUAGGUUUAAAGGGUACCUAGACGGUAAAUCAAGCCUGAAAUAUGGGACUAAUGUACUAGAGUUACUUACGAGGGGGUAUUAAAGUACUGCUGGUGUAGAGAUGAAAUUCUGUCAUACCUCGUUUCACAGGAAACACUACGGCACAGGUAUAGGCGAAAGCAUCUCCUUAUGUGAUAACUGACGUUGAAGGACGAAGGCUUUGUGUAGCGAACAGGAUUAGAUACCCCAGUAGUCAAAGCAGAAAAUGAUGAAUGUCAUAGAUUAGAUAUAUAGUUUAUUCUAUAAAUGAAAGUGUAAGCAUUCCACCUCAAGAGUAAUUUGGCAACAUUGGAACUGAAAUCAUUAGACCGUUUCUGAAACCAGUAGUGAAGUAUGUUGUUUAAUUUGAUAAUCCGCAAAAAACCUUACCACAAUUUGAAUAUUUUAAUUUUUAUUUUCUUUAUCUGUUUUUGUAUUGCCUUGCUUGAUUUUUUACUAAAAAAAGUUAUGUAAAAGAAAAAUAAGAAGAAGAAAAUAAAAAUUAAUUUACAAGCGUUGCACGGCUGUCUUCAGUUAAUGUCGUGAGAUUCUGGUUAGUUCCAUUAAUUAACGCAA